AAGUUGAGGAAGAAAAUAAAUAAUGCUUUAGUAACAAUCCAGAUAAACCCAUUAAUACUUGUACCCAGUAUGCUAAGUGUUAGUUAUUACCUAUUAAGGGCAAGAGACAUCAAGUUUGUAACAGCCCAAAUUAACCAUACACCACCUAUAAAACCAUCCCAAUCCUUAUUCACCCAGCUAUACAAUCUAAAUUACAGAACUACAAGCAACCACUUAAAACAAUAACAUCACUUCACAUUGGAAACUUUACCAGACAUGAAAUCUACACUGGUCAGGACAAUCUACGAGAAAAGUUGGCUCUUAUAAUCCAGUGUCAUCCGUCAGCUACAACA
Molecule: unclassified non-coding RNA, 332 nt
Filed under: Hevea brasiliensis (rubber tree)
Lineage: Eukaryota; Viridiplantae; Streptophyta; Magnoliopsida; Malpighiales; Euphorbiaceae
Source: RNAcentral